Molecule: ribosomal RNA, 1550 nt
Filed under: Triticum aestivum (bread wheat)
Lineage: Eukaryota; Viridiplantae; Streptophyta; Magnoliopsida; Poales; Poaceae
Description: partial small subunit ribosomal RNA
Source: RNAcentral
GAAGGUGGGUGAGAACUUAGUAAGCGGAAAGGAAGGAUGGGGGAUGGCUAGUGGAAAAGGAUUUGGUUGCGGAGCGAACGAGAGGGGAACGGUACCUGUCCUGUUUGCAGCGCCGGCGACGGGGCGGCGGGCAUGGGUACCGCCGCGGGCAGCAGGGCCAGCUAGACUGCCAGCAGUUCUUCGAGGAGCCUCCGCCGCCGCUGGACCGCCAGGUGCUGCGCAGACCGCCAGAGCGGAAAGCGCAGUGCCGCCGCCUGCCAACACCGUCCUCCACGCCUCCCUCCCGCGAGGAGCUGCGGAGGCCCUCGUGAGACCAGUGACGGUCCUGGUCGCUCCCACGCACCGUCCGUAAGUCUCCUUAAUCAACCCUUGUCUUUCUGUAUUAAAAAAGUUGUUUCCAUUACACACGAAGAAGUCUAGCUUUCCUCCAUGUACAGAAACAGGGCGGCUCUUCGUGUAGACUCCUCGUUUUUGGUUCGAUGUAUGAGCAUCCUUUAGGUAGAGCUUCUCGUACGUGCUAAUAUUCCCCUUUGAGGUAACAACGAGUCUGUUUAGAGGGCAUGUUUGAGUUAUUCCGGCAGAUAAGUUCCGCCUUCAAAUCCCACUGCUAAAUGGGUCCUUUGCUAUUGUAAGACUAGUACCGUUACCAAUACUGGAAGGAACAAGUUUUUAUUGUAUCCACUACUUAUGCUUGUAACGAAAGUCUUUCGAGUCUCCUACUAAAUCAAUUAAGAAGAGAGUGAUUGGUUAACGUGAAUGACCUGCUUUUUUCCUAAGAGCUUGUACGUGGGUUUACGCACAGCAAAAGAAUGACCUUUCUGACUAUACAACAUUUAUAAAACAACCACAGGUCAAAGUAAAAAAAAAACCGAUCUGAUGAUGCAUGUAGGUUCAAAAUGUACAAGUACGGGAUUUAUGAAAAGAGCGUAAGUAACCGUAGUUCCCUACCUAUCCUGUACCAUGAUACUUUGGGUCGUAAUAGAAGACUAGUUCUGUCGUCAUACACAACGUAUUAACACCGAUAUUAGGCCUAAUGGCUGGUCUACAAACAAGAUCAACAAUACCUCCCGUACCUUUUAGUAUGGUCUUAGAGUCGGGAACAUGGCUCGAUCACUUAAAAGGGGAGUUUUCCUUCUUUUAUCGAUCACUUAAAAGAAAAGAAUAAUCUGUUACUUACUUGAUAAUUUAAAGGACGCGUCCAAGGAUUACUUCGUCUGCGGAAGUCAUCUUUCCGGAAUUCGGGAACUCGUGGGUGUGCUCUUUGUCACAAGGUAAUCUUACUAUGUAAGAGAGACUUUUGAAGACUCUUGAACUCAUUCCGCAAGUUACUUUAAGACGUUGUCCUAUUCUCUUCAACUCGUGGUUUCAAAACAGCACAGGUGAAUAGCGGCUACUACUUUACAUAUUUAAAAUAUUGUUUACGAUAGAACUGACUUAUCUACCUUAGUCACUUUCAUACCCGUUAGUAAAGUCGCGAACUUAAUGGUCUUGGAAACUUACGAAUCCCGCGGCAGUGAACCGCUCCAAGAGCCUCAAGUGUUAUGUGACCG